GACUAGAAGUGUUGAUAAGCGCGUUCCAACAGCUACAAGGGUGGAGUAGGGAACAGUGUAUUCCUAAUGAUACCGUCUGGCAAUGGUUGAAUUGCAUGGGUGAUAACCCUCCUAGAGUAACCUCAAUGUAUCUUUUCUUUUUUGUUUUAGCUAUUUUGACAUGCUAGCAUCCGAUUGCUUUGAUUUGUUUCACUUGGUUUUGCAGAUAUCUCUCCGGAUAUGAUCUUGAUGAUCCACUUCCAGAUUUUAGCCAAAUGGAUGAUGCCCUGGAAGCCAUAGAUCUGCGGAACAACCACCUUGAUGGUCCAAUUCCAGAUGUUCUUGGAAAGCUGCUUAAUCUAACGCUACUUGACCUCCGGGAUAACAAUUUUGCGGGUGGUGUUCCGUAAAGUAUAACCAGUAACAACCAAAUAAAAUACAUGAUAGGUUCGAGCAAUAAUCAAUCGGAGAGCAAAAGAUUGGCUUUGAUAAUCGUAUUGGCUGUGGGAUUACCUAUAUUCUUCUUAUUUAUACUUGCCCUUGUUUUCCUCUUAGUUCGGAAACAGAAAACAUCAACUCAAGUACAAGUCACAGCAGCGGAGUUGGGCGGUAAUCGAGUAACCACCACUGGACAGUCCUAAGAAGGGGUUGUUUACUCCGCAAUGAGCACAGACGCAUUGAUUAGGCCAUCACUAGCCAUUGAAUAUAAUAAUUCUUGAAUGUCAAACGGAGAUGGUUAAGGUACCAAUCCAGAUAUAUCGCGCAUACAUACAAAUGAGGGCCCUGGAGCCAUGCCAACAGCAGAAGAAAUGUCAAUGGGUGCUAAUGCUGGAAGCAUUAAUCAUCAUUAUCCAACUACCAUACAAAUGAUCGACGAGGUCAACCCCAAAUCUUCAUUUUUAAUUUAUAUGCUCGAAC
This is a long non-coding RNA of Gossypium raimondii (Peruvian cotton), 897 nucleotides long. RefSeq lists it as uncharacterized. NCBI's taxonomy places the organism in Eukaryota, Viridiplantae, Streptophyta, Magnoliopsida, Malvales, Malvaceae. The record is from RefSeq and is a predicted model, not a curated record. The transcript has 4 exons.